GGACGAACGCUGGCGGCGUGCUUAACACAUGCAAGUCGAGCGGAGAAUAUAGCAAUAUAUUCUAGCGGCGGACGGGUGAGUAACGCGUGGGCAAUCUGCCUCAUACAGGGGGAUAACACUGGGAAACUAGUGCUAAUACCGCAUAAAAUAGUGAAGUGGCAUCACUUUACUAUCAAAGGAGCAAUCCGGUGUGAGAUGAGCCCGCGUCCGAUUAGCUAGUUGGAGGGGUAACGGCCCACCAAGGCGACGAUCGGUAGCCGAACUGAGAGGUUGAUCGGCCACAUUGGGACUGAGACACGGCCCAGACUCCUACGGGAGGCAGCAGUGGGGAAUAUUGCGCAAUGGGGGGAAACCCUGACGCAGCAACGCCGCGUGAAGGAUGAAGGUUUUCGGAUUGUAAACUUCUUUGAUUGGGGACGAUAAUGACGGUACCCAAAAAACAAGCCACGGCUAACUACGUGCCAGCAGCAGC
This 472-nucleotide ribosomal RNA is filed under the name uncultured bacterium. Its description in RNAcentral is "bacterial SSU rRNA". It matches the Rfam family "Bacterial small subunit ribosomal RNA", at positions 27 to 518 of the family's 1533-position model. The record is from RNAcentral.